Molecule: ribosomal RNA, 460 nt
Filed under: uncultured bacterium
Lineage: Bacteria
Description: partial 16S ribosomal RNA
Rfam family: Bacterial small subunit ribosomal RNA
Source: RNAcentral
CCUACGGGAGGCAGCAGUGAGGAAUAUUGGUCAAUGGACGAGAGUCUGAACCAGCCAAGUAGCGUGAAGGAUGACUGCCCUAUGGGUUGUAAACUUCUUUUAUAUGGGAAUAAAAUGUUCCACGUGUGGGAUUUUGUAUGUACCAUAUGAAUAAGGAUCGGCUAACUCCGUGCCAGCAGCCGCGGUAAUACGGAGGAUCCGAGCGUUAUCCGGAUUUAUUGGGUUUAAGGGGAGCGUAGGUGGAUUGUUAAGUCAGUUGUGAAAGUUUGCGGCUCAACCGUAAAAUUGCAGUUGAAACUGGCAGUCUUGAGUACAGUAGAGGUGGGCGGAAUUCGUGGUAUAGCGGUGAAAUGCUUAGAUAUCACGAAGAACUCCGAUUGCGAAGGCAGUUCACUGGACUGCAACUGACACUGAGGCUCGAAAGUGUGGGUAUCAAACAGGAUUAGAUACCCCUGUAGUC